GACGAAUGCUGGCGGCGUGCCUAACACAUGCAAGUCGAACGGACGAGGAGGAGCUUGCUUCUCCAAGUCAGUGGCGGACGGGUGAGUAACGCGUGAGUAACCUGCCCUUCAGAGGGGGAUAACGUCUGGAAACGGACGCUAAUACCGCAUGACAUAUUUCCAUCGCAUGGUGGAGAUAUCAAAGGAGCAAUCCGCUGAAGGAUGGACUCGCGUCCGAUUAGAUAGUUGGCGGGGUAACGGCCCACCAAGUCGACGAUCGGUAGCCGGACUGAGAGGUUGAACGGCCACAUUGGGACUGAGACACGGCCCAGACUCCUACGGGAGGCAGCAGUGGGGGAUAUUGCACAAUGGGCGAAAGCCUGAUGCAGCAACGCCGCGUGAGGGAAGACGGUUUUCGGAUUGUAAACCUCUGUUCUAAGUGACGAACAAAUGACGGUAGCUUAGGAGAAAGCCCCGGCUAACUACGUGCCAGCAGCCGCGGUAAUACGUAGGGGGCAAGCGUUGUCCGGAAUUACUGGGUGUAAAGGGAGCGCAGGCGGAGAAGCAAGUCAGUGGUGAAAACGAUGGGCUUAACUCAUCGACUGCCAUUGAAACUGUUUCCCUUGAGUGAAGUAGAGGCAGGCGGAAUUCCGAGUGUAGCGGUGAAAUGCGUAGAUAUUCGGAGGAACACCAGUGGC
RNAcentral lists this ribosomal RNA (677 nucleotides) under uncultured Lachnospiraceae bacterium. RNAcentral's name for it is "bacterial SSU rRNA". It matches the Rfam family "Bacterial small subunit ribosomal RNA", at positions 28 to 716 of the family's 1533-position model. Lineage: Bacteria; Bacillati; Bacillota; Clostridia; Lachnospirales; Lachnospiraceae. The record is from RNAcentral.